UUAAUUAUAAGGGGUCCAUACAAACACGAAAUCCCACAUGUCUUCUACAUCUAUCUAUUCUUAACGAGCGCAAUGCCCAUUUAGCUCUUUACCCACGGGUUAUCCAUAUUUUACCCGAUUCCUACUAUAAAAUACACAUUUUACUUGACCCAUUUAGUAAACUAAACCGGAAUAUAACCGACUCCCCCAGCUAAAGUUCUGCGCUUGCCUU
RNAcentral lists this long non-coding RNA (211 nucleotides) under Daucus carota (carrot). RNAcentral's name for it is "long non-coding RNA (DCAR_LNC003922)". The record is from RNAcentral. Lineage: Eukaryota; Viridiplantae; Streptophyta; Magnoliopsida; Apiales; Apiaceae.